UUGAUUUUUCAUGUUUGCUCGGACGGGCACGGUAAGACGGUUCGUGGUUGGGCCUCUCGCGGGGGCUCGCUGGCGUGAGCCGGCGGCCCGGGGGGCGCCCCGCGAAAGCAACGAGGUAGGUAGGCACGGGUGGGAGGUCUACCCCGGGGGGCAUGAACUCGGUAAUGAUCCUUCCGCAGGUUCACCUACGGAAA
This 194-nucleotide unclassified non-coding RNA is filed under the name uncultured fungus. RNAcentral's name for it is "sequence contains ITS1". The record is from RNAcentral. Lineage: Eukaryota; Fungi.